This 504-nucleotide ribosomal RNA is filed under the name uncultured Desulfobulbus sp. RNAcentral describes it as "bacterial SSU rRNA". It matches the Rfam family "Bacterial small subunit ribosomal RNA", at positions 903 to 1382 of the family's 1533-position model. Lineage: Bacteria; Pseudomonadati; Thermodesulfobacteriota; Desulfobulbia; Desulfobulbales; Desulfobulbaceae. The record is from RNAcentral.
ACGCCCGCUCAGAAACGUUAAAGGAAUUGACGGGGGCCCGCACAAGCGGUGGAGUAUGUGGUUUAAUUCGAUGCAACGCGAAGAACCUUACCUGGUCUUGACAUCCCGGAGACCCUUAGGAAACUAGGGGGUGCUUCCAUCUGGAAGAAUCUGGAGACAGGUGCUGCAUGGCUGUCGUCAGCUCGUGUCGUGAGAUGUUGGGUUAAGUCCCGCAACGAGCGCAACCCUUGCCUUUAGUUGCCAGCAGUUCGGCUGGGCACUCUAAAGGGACUGCCGGUGUUAAACCGGAGGAAGGUGGGGAUGACGUCAAGUCCUCAUGGCCUUUAUGACCAGGGCUACACACGUACUACAAUGGCCGAUACAAAGGGCAGCGACACUGCGAGGUGAAGCCAAUCCCGUAAAAUCGGUCUCAGUCCGGAUUGGAGUCUGCAACUCGACUCCAUGAAGUUGGAAUCGCUAGUAAUCGUGGAUCAGCAUGCCACGGUGAAUACGUUCCCGGGCCUU